UACGUAGGGGGCUAGCGUUGUCCGGAUUUAUUGGGCGUAAAGAGCGUGUAGGCGGCCAGGUAGGUCUGCUGUGAAAACUCGAGGCUCAACCUCGAGACGUCGGCGGAAACCAUCUGGCUAGAGUCCGGAAGAGGAGAGUGGAAUUCCUGGUGUAGCGGUGAAAUGCGCAGAUAUCAGGAAGAACACCCGUGGCGAAGGCGGCUCUCUGGGACGGUACUGGCGCUGAGACGCGAAAGCGUGGGGAGCGAACAGG
RNAcentral lists this ribosomal RNA (253 nucleotides) under uncultured bacterium. RNAcentral's name for it is "partial 16S ribosomal RNA". It matches the Rfam family "Bacterial small subunit ribosomal RNA", at positions 524 to 776 of the family's 1533-position model. The record is from RNAcentral.